UUAUUUUACAAAUUUCUGUAGUUUUUUUUUCUUUUGUUGAUUUAUAUUAUGCACUUUUUGGUUUUGUUUUUUAUUUAUUUCCUUAAUUCUAAAGAAAAUUCUUGUUUUUAUAAUUGAAUUCAGGACCUCAUCAUGUAUCAUGCUCACAAAUAAUAUCGGCCUCUUUCAAUAUGUCACUGACAAAAACAGUACUUGAAUCAAUGAGGCAUUCUUCAGAUUGACUUUCUUGGGUAUUCCUAUUUGAUGUAAAAACAGCACUACUAUGUCUACCUAAAAUGUACCACCGUAGCCUGGAAAAUUGGUUUUGAUUAUUUACACAAUAUUUUUUUUUUUAUUAUUAUAAGAUUAGUUAUUAUUGUUAAUUAAUUUAACCUGUAUUGAAAAUGUAAAGGUGUCGGGUGUGUAUUGGCUGCACCCAUUCCUCGCAAAAAACUAAAACAAUUUUCCAAUACAUCUUGAUUAAGACGCCUGGUAAUAAUGUAUUUUAUGCUAUACAUUUCUUUCAUGUCUGCAAAUAAAUUCCUCAAGGAUAUAUUGCUCAUGAGAAUUCCUUUUUGAAAUGGCAUUAAAGUUUUCCUUGGACAUUUAGAGUGAUAAACACGCAUAGUUAGCAUAAGUUGUCCAUUUUCUGUAAUAUGCCAUCCUGAUUGUCUUUGUCCAGCCCAUAUGCAAGACACUUAGUUGUCUUGGUACUUGUGAAUUGAAUAAAUCAAACCCUUGAUCAAUGAUUUUAAAUGUUUCAGAUACCUAAAAACCAAAAAAAUCUCUCUUUUGUCCUGCAUAUGCAACAGCUGUUGCUACAGUGUUUGAAAAAAAUUGUGAUGCUAAUUUUACUUUCUGUCUCAUUGGUCCAGUACACUUUAAAUGGCUGUGAGAUAAUUUAUAUGAAUGAAACCAUGGUCAAGGUAAUUAUUUCUGCAUAAUUUUAUAAGAUGUGGUAUGUCAGCAAAAACAUGUACCCGUUGACCUGUAAUUGGGUGUUUAAAGUUUGGUUGUUCAAAUGAAACUGAAAUUGAUUUUAAUAAUCCUUGAUUAGUUGGGGCCCCAUGUCACUGACGACACCCACAACAUUGAAUCCAACUGUGUGUAGUUUCUCAAUUAUGUCAAUUAAUAGUUCUGAUGUCAAUGGAGUAUCAUAUUUAUAAAAAAUUGGCUGUUUCCAUUUCGAUAUCAGUCCUCUGGCCAUAACAACUUGAACUGUUUUAUGUGGCCCUAUUACUUGUUCCCUGUUUCGGUCAAAAUCAAUCUGAUGAGAUAGAUACAUUUCAUCAAAUGAUAGAAUAGUAAGUUUUUCCUCAAUGGCCAUGUCUAAUCCUAACAUAUUUUUAAAUAAAAUAAAAUCAAUUAAUCAAAGCAAUAUCAUGUAAAUUUAAUCAAUGGUAAUGAUAUUAAUAUUUAUUUUGUUGUUAUUUAAAAUUUUUUAAAAUAUAUA
This is a long non-coding RNA of Aphis gossypii (cotton aphid), 1432 nucleotides long. RefSeq lists it as uncharacterized. The record is from RefSeq and is a predicted model, not a curated record. NCBI's taxonomy places the organism in Eukaryota, Metazoa, Arthropoda, Insecta, Hemiptera, Aphididae. The transcript has 4 exons.